GUUUCCUACGGGGGGCAGCAGUGGGGGAUAUUGCACAAUGGGGGGAACCCUGAUGCAGCGACGCCGCGUGGGUGAAGGAGUGCUUCGGCAUGUAAAGCCCUCUCGGCAGGGAAGAAGCAAGACGGUACCUGACUAAGAAGCCCCGGCUAACUACGUGCCAGCAGCCGCGGUAAUACGUAGGGGGCGAGCGUUAUCCGGAUUCACUGGGUGUAAAGGGAGCGUAGACGGCCAUGCAAGCCAGGGGUGAAAGCCCGGGGCCCAACCCCGGGACUGCCCCUGGAACUGCAUGGCUUGU
This 295-nucleotide ribosomal RNA is filed under the name uncultured bacterium. Its description in RNAcentral is "partial 16S ribosomal RNA". It matches the Rfam family "Bacterial small subunit ribosomal RNA", at positions 334 to 645 of the family's 1533-position model. The record is from RNAcentral.